UGGGGAAUAUUGCACAAUGGAGGGAACUCUGAUGCAGCGACGCCGCGUGAGUGAUGAAGGAAUUCGUUUCGUAAAACUCUGUUCUAUGGGAAGAAAAGGACUGUACCAUAGGAGAAAGCUCCGGCUAAAUACGUGCCAGCAGCCGCGGUAAUACGUAUGGAGCGAGCGUUGUCCGGAAUUAUUGGGCAUAAAGGGUGCGCAGGCGGCUUUACAAGUUGGAUGUGAAAUAUUGUGGCUCAACCACAAACGUGCAUCCAAAACUGCAAAGCUUGAGUUAAGGAGAGGUAAGUGGAAUUCCUGGUGUAGCGGUGGAAUGCGUAGAUAUCAGGAGGAAUACCGGUGGCGAAGGCGACUUACUGGACUUAAACUGACGCUCAGGCACGAAAGCGUGGGGAGCAAACAGG
This 404-nucleotide ribosomal RNA is filed under the name Fusobacteriota bacterium. RNAcentral describes it as "Fusobacteria bacterium partial 16S ribosomal RNA". It matches the Rfam family "Bacterial small subunit ribosomal RNA", at positions 355 to 776 of the family's 1533-position model. Lineage: Bacteria; Fusobacteriati; Fusobacteriota. The record is from RNAcentral.